UGGGGAAUAUUGCACAAUGGGGGGAAACCCUGAUGCAGCGACGCCGCGUGAAGGAAGAAGUAUCUCGGUAUGUAAACUUCUAUCAGCAGGGAAGAUAGUGACGGUACCUGACUAAGAAGCCCCGGCUAAUUACGUGCC
RNAcentral lists this ribosomal RNA (138 nucleotides) under uncultured bacterium. RNAcentral's name for it is "partial 16S ribosomal RNA". It matches the Rfam family "Bacterial small subunit ribosomal RNA", at positions 355 to 509 of the family's 1533-position model. The record is from RNAcentral.